RNAcentral lists this ribosomal RNA (253 nucleotides) under uncultured bacterium. Its description in RNAcentral is "partial 16S ribosomal RNA". It matches the Rfam family "Bacterial small subunit ribosomal RNA", at positions 524 to 776 of the family's 1533-position model. The record is from RNAcentral.
CACGGGGGGAGCAAGCGUUGUUCGGAAUCACUGGGCGUAAAGGGCGCGUAGGCGGCCUGCUAAGUCGAACGUGAAAUCCCUGGGCUCAACCCAGGAACUGCGUCCGAUACUGGUUGGCUUGAAUCCGGGAGAGGGAUGUGGAAUUCCAGGUGUAGCGGUGAAAUGCGUAGAUAUCUGGAGGAACACCGGUGGCGAAGGCGACAUCCUGGACCGGUAUUGACGCUGAGGCGCGAAAGCCAGGGGAGCAAACGGG